Molecule: long non-coding RNA, 1889 nt
Organism: Bacillus rossius redtenbacheri
Lineage: Eukaryota; Metazoa; Arthropoda; Insecta; Phasmatodea; Bacillidae
Exons: 3
Source: RefSeq, a predicted model, not a curated record
GAUGGUGCUGAUGUAGCAUUUGUACAAUAUCUUCUACAUUUGCCGCUCAAAGUCACCUAUUGCAAGACUGCAAAAGAGUACCUAGGCAAAGUGUUUUAUACUUUAAAACGUCAAACGCGUAUGUAUUUUUAUUAUCAACUUUGAAGAAAUAUGAAGGAGAUAAGACCGCGACGCGCGCAAUAUCCGGAGCGGGUUGGCAGCCCUGCACGGCCACUGACGUCACGCGCCCGUUGACGUCACACGCCCUUCAUUGAGGUGUUUAUUGAGAGAGAGGCUCAGCCGCGCUCGCAGAUGAUCUCGACGACGCCGGGCUCCAUGAGCACGGGGUCCAGGCAGCGGUGCACCGCGCUGCCCAGGAUCUCGUCCAGCAGGAAGUGCACCAGGCUGCGAACCAACCACGGCCACCAGGUCAGGCCGCCCCAUUCCUCCAUCCCUCUUGCCGGCGUAACUCGCAAACACACAGCAUGCAGUCUUCCAAGUCAUGCACGUUUCCAAGUUGCGAUAGUUGUAAGAUGUGUUUUCUAAGUCAUGUGGUUUGGCAUUGUAUGUAUCUAAGUUUUGUGUUUUUUUAAGUUAUUGUAGUUCUAAAUCGUGUUUUCUAAGUUAUGUGGUUUGGCAUUGUAUGUUUCUGAGUUUUGUUUUUUUAAGUUAUUAUAGUUCUAAAGUGUGUUUUCUAAGUUAUGUGGUUUGGCAUUGUAUGCAUCUAAGUUUUGUGUUUUUAAGUUAUUAUAGUUCUAAAGUAUGUUUUCUAAGCUAUGUGGUUUGGCAUUGCAUGUUUCUAAGUUAUUUCUAAGUUGUGUAUGUUCUAAGUUAUCAUUUUCUAAGUUACAAAAAUUCUAAGUUGUAUUUUUCUGAGUUAUGAUCGUUAUAACUUAUGACAGUUCUAAGUUACGUGGAUUUUUUUUUUUUUUAGAGAAUUCUAAGAUACGAGUGUUCCAAGUUGUGUGUUUCUAAGUUAUGUGUAGAUCCCGCUCCCGCUUCCCUGCAGCCACCAGCUUGGGUCCACGCGCCUCGUCUGUUUACUGCGUUCCCAAGCCGCUAUAACAGUGUUUUCAUCAUAAUGCAGGCUUAACUCUUUUCUGCUGACUUCUUUACACUUCUACUUUGAUUUUUAAAAUAAAAUAAAAAUCAAGCCGUACACUUGUGAUGUACUGAUCUGAAUACACACAAAUUUUAAUCAGGGUUAAGAAAUUAUCACUCACAAAAUAAGCAUCACAGAUAAAAUUAACAAUGUAAAAAAAUGCUACUAAUAGUUGGUAAUACUUAAACGUAUUAAAUUUUAAAAAAAAUCUUAAAUUUUUGAGAAAUAGUUUUUUUUGAGUAACGUAAUUUUAUUUAAUUUCUAUUUGUUAGUUGAGAUAACAGGCUGAAUGUCGAAUAAUGUACUGUAUUCACCCGAAAAUAAGUCUACCCUGAAUGUAAUCGACCCCCAAUUAUGCAAGUGAAGGUUCCAAGAAAAAUUAUUAACGUACCUACCUUUUUCCUUUCCUUCCUCAGUAGCACGUCGCUGCACUAAAUCUCCGAGAAAAAAAUUAGUCCAAAAAUUUUUUUUUUAUAAUCUUGUCCGAAUCUCUGUGAGGAUUAAAAAUAUUUAACGUCAUUAGUAAUGCUUCUAUUCAAUGCAAAUUAAAAAAAGCAAAAACAAUUUUUGCAAUUAAACAAAUUUUUUUUAAACGUAGUUUGCUCCAGUUAUAAGAUGACCCCCCGAUACUUUGGGUGGUCUUUCGAUGAAAAACUCUCGUCUUAUUUUCAGGUGAAUAUGGUAUAUUCAGAAUGCAUAUCCAGACAAUAAUUCCCCCCCCCCCCUCCUCCCGCAUCAGAACAAGAACAUUCCUAGUAAGCAUGGAGGCCGCAGAAGGAGGGGCAACGUCCCUGUACUCACUUCUCAU